UACGUAGGGAGCAAGCGUUGUCCGGAAUCAUUGGGCGUAAAGGGCGCGUAGGCGGCACUGUUAGUCAGGCGUGAAAGUCCUGGGCUCAACCUGGGAACUGCGCUUGAUACGGCAGAGCUAGAGGAUGGAAGAGGGUCGCGGAAUUCCCAGUGUAGAGGUGAAAUUCGUAGAUAUUGGGAAGAACACCGGUGGCGAAGGCGGCGACCUGGUCCAUUACUGACGCUGAGGCGCGACAGCGUGGGGAGCAAACAGG
Molecule: ribosomal RNA, 253 nt
Filed under: uncultured bacterium
Lineage: Bacteria
Description: partial 16S ribosomal RNA
Rfam family: Bacterial small subunit ribosomal RNA
Source: RNAcentral